CACAGAGGGAGGCGACAGGGAGUUUAAAAGAAUCAGUCUGUGAGAUAGACACGCUUGUUGCAACUAAAUUUGUCAGUUGAAGUUUUCAGUAACUUCGAUUCUGGAUCCACAGCACCACCGAUAAUAAUGAUGUUCUGCAGAGCGACUUGGCAAAGGCUUGCGCCUCUGGCACGCAAAACACUAACUCCUUUCAGCAAUGCUGUAUUCCCUACGCGACAGAUGUCCUUUGGUCUACCGGCGUCCGGCACAAACAUAGCUUACGUGGUACUUGGUGGAAGCUCACUUACUGCAGCUCUUGUUUAUGCUUAUAAGACAAUAAAUUCUGACAGUGCAAGAUAUAAUGAAAGAAUUGCUCAACUCGAGGCCAGACCUAAAAGUAAGUUGAUUUUUAUUUUAUUUUGUGGUGUAGUUUUGUUUUUGUCUAUGAAUAUCU
Long non-coding RNA from Sinocyclocheilus anshuiensis, 433 nucleotides. The record is from Ensembl. Lineage: Eukaryota; Metazoa; Chordata; Actinopteri; Cypriniformes; Cyprinidae.